GAGUUUGAUCCUGGCUCAGGACUAACGCUGGCGGCGUGCCUAACACAUGCAAGUCGAACGAGUAGCAAUACUAGUGGCAGGCGGGUGAGUAACGCGUAGGUAAUGUGCCUUCUUACUGGGGAUACCGUUCCGAAAGGAGCGUUAAUACCGAAUGUGACGGAGACGGGGCAUCCCGAUUUCGUUAAACUGUUAGGAUGAGAAGAGCAGCCUGCGUUCUAUCAGCUUGUUGGUGGGGUAAUGGCCUACCAAGGCUACGACGGAUAGCCGGUCUGAGAGGAUGAUCGGCCACACUGGGACUGAGACACGGCCCAGACUCCUACGGGAGGCAGCAGUGGGGAAUUUUGGACAAUGGGGGAAACCCUGAUCCAGCCAUUCCGCGUGAGUGAAGAAGGCCU
RNAcentral lists this ribosomal RNA (395 nucleotides) under uncultured beta proteobacterium. RNAcentral describes it as "bacterial SSU rRNA". It matches the Rfam family "Bacterial small subunit ribosomal RNA", at positions 9 to 417 of the family's 1533-position model. The record is from RNAcentral. Lineage: Bacteria; Pseudomonadati; Pseudomonadota; Betaproteobacteria.